Molecule: ribosomal RNA, 506 nt
Filed under: uncultured bacterium
Lineage: Bacteria
Description: partial 16S ribosomal RNA
Rfam family: Bacterial small subunit ribosomal RNA
Source: RNAcentral
AGUGAACGCUGGCGGUAGGCCUAACACAUGCAAGUCGAACGGCAGCACAGGAGAGCUUGCUCUCUGGGUGGCGAGUGGCGGACGGGUGAGGAAUACAUCGGAAUCUACUCUGUCGUGGGGGAUAACGUAGGGAAACUUACGCUAAUACCGCAUACGACCUACGGGUGAAAGCAGGGGACCUUCGGGCCUUGCGCGAUUGAAUGAGCCGAUGUCGGAUUAGCUAGUUGGCGGGGUAAAGGCCCACCAAGGCGACGAUCCGUAGCUGGUCUGCGAGGAUGAUCAGCCACACUGGAACUGAGACACGUUCCAGAUUCCUACGGGAGGCAGCAGUGGGGAAUAUUGGACAAUGGGCGCAAGCCUGAUCCAGCCAUACCGCGUGGGUGAAGAAGGCCUUCGGGUUGUAAAGCCCUUUUGUUGGGAAAGAAAUCCAGCUGGCUAAUACCCGGUUGGGAUGACGGUACCCAAAGAAUAAGCACCGGCUAACUUCGUGCCAGCCGCCGCGGUAA